AUGCAGCCGCCGACGGCUCCUUUUUGUUGCAGCCGCUCGCGCUCCUCCGUGGAGGCCUUUCAUGGUCGCCACCCUGCACACCUUGGCUUCCCUGAGCAACUUCCCACGUCGCUGCAAGAUGGCCAUAUGUUCGCCAUCCCUGGAGCAUUACUUCUUGUGGCGCCUCUUACUGACCUUCCUCGGCGUCUCUCAUCGACCUCCCCGACGACUCUCAUCGACCUUCCCCAUCGACAAGGUACAAAAGGUUUGGAAGGUCCUCCGUCAUGUGCUAUAGGAGAACCAGGUCAGCGCACAAAAAAAGCAGCGACAGUGGUCUUCUCAGGAGCUAACAGGAACCUCUCUCUCAGCUACUGA
This 354-nucleotide ribosomal RNA is filed under the name Triticum aestivum (bread wheat). RNAcentral's name for it is "partial small subunit ribosomal RNA". The record is from RNAcentral. Lineage: Eukaryota; Viridiplantae; Streptophyta; Magnoliopsida; Poales; Poaceae.